UUUUUCACCUUGCAGUAUAAAACGUGGCAGCUCCCGCAGUGAAACCCUAGCCGCCUCUCCACCCUCCCCCAAUCCCGUCCACCUCGUCCCUUUCUCUCCCCCAAUCCCCACGUUCCUCUCUCUCCCAAUCCCCCAAUCUCCUCAAGACUCACUCCAUUUGUUGGUUUUCUCCAUGAUGGAGCGGGGGGAGGUGAAGGGAAGUAGGGCAGCAUGGUUGAGAAGGUGGAGAUCAACGUGGAGAAGCACCUGAUAGCCACUCUCCCUUUAUUCCCUGCCAUGGACUAGCUCAUCCUUCCCCACUGCAAGAAUAGUUUCAAUUGGAGGAAGAAGAAGAGGUGAUAAGAAGAGGAGAAAGAGGAUGCGAAGGAAGAAGAGAAAAUCCCCACCUUCCUUUCAGAUCCCUCUUGAUCCAGAUCCAAGGGUAUCUGGUCCGUAGGUUCCUCGAUAGGUAACUGUCCGGAGGAAAGAUGUCGGGAUGAAGUAGUCGAGAAAGGUAUGAAGUCACGCUGCAGCCAUGGAUUCUCCGCCCCAGGUUUCUCUACAGCGCGUCGGGAUGAUGUAUUCGCCUUCGUCGCACCACCGGUGUGUGCAUAAGCCAUUUGUGUAAAUUCAUAAAGGCAAAGAUCGCUCCGGGAAGAAAUGCUAACACCUCAACUUGGAUUUGUAACUUGCGUGUUCUCUCAGAUGCAUUCCUCUUGAUGAUUUACAUGAGUUUCAACAUGGAUUUCUUAGUUUAUAUUAAUCACAUGUUCUAGAACUUCAAGAAAUGAAGCCUUUUUGUAUAUUCUAAUGGCUUUUCUAAUUAUUUUUAUCAGUGAUGAUGAAGUGGAAUAUUUUAUCAUGCAAGAUAGUGGACUAUAAGGUUGGACAGUUUUAAUAAACUUUGAUAGUUAGGUAUCUCAACUUCAAGAAUUUGUUGGCCAAAUUAUUCUUAUGUUCGAUAUGAUGUGUGGUACUGGUAGUAGAUGAAGUUUUUCUUACUUUGCACGAUCUCCAGUAUGCAAUUCUUACCUUUCUAUAUGACUAUGUAAGUAAUAGAUUAAAAAAUAUAUAAUGAUACCAUCACCAUCUACCUAACCUAAAUAUAGUCUUUAAAAGUGUUUUCAAAGAUAGAGAAGUUUUAUCGCAUGCUUUCUAGAGUGUCAUCUAUUUUAGAACAGAGGGACUCUCAGGUUUCAUAAUAGCUAAAGUCUCCAUCGGUUUGUUCUUGAAAUAUCUCUCUCCGGCCCUUUAGUUAUCUGAGCUUCAUAGGUUUGUUCUUGAACUAUCUCUCUCCGGCCACAACCACGGUGUGCAGGUUCUUACCAUUGAUAUCGGGAUGGAAAUGUAAAGCGCUUGAACAACCUUGAUGGAGGCUGAUAUUUGCUCCACCUAGAGUCAUGUUUUAUGCAUCGUGUACUGAACAAUGUAUUCUUUCAAUCUAACUAAACAUAAGUAUAAUUAUUUAGAACCUUGUUCUGAAUUGGUUUCUAUAUAUGUUCGCUAAUAUAUUCAUAUCUUAAAUAACCACAUUUAGCUUGAUGGCGCCCACGGAUGAGAAGAACGAUCACAGCAUGCCAUGUGCAUAUGGCACCGGAGUUAUUUGCUUACAUUGCAUGAUGAGGGGCCAUGUCUGGAAGUUCGCGGCAUUGGAUCUGUCGACGUCCCUCGCGGAGCAGCAGUCGGGAUGGCAAUCCUGCUGGUCGCAGAGGAUCAGCGUCGGCCAGCUGACAUCAGGGAGGAGCUGCGGUAACGACCGGGCAGCAGGGAGGGGCCGCCAAAGUGACUGGGUGACAUGGACCUGUGGCAUAGGAGCAGCUGCAGUUCAACUAUGGCGUCUCAGCUCUUUCUGGCGAAGUACGGCUAUUUGUCGGGUCAGAUCUCUAUAAAUUAGGCGGAAAUAGAUUUUCGUCUGAGUUCUGUUACAAGGAUCAGUGAUAUAUCCCCUACCGGGUUGAACAAAGCUAUGGAUAUGCAAGUAGAGGCAGAAAGGAGAAAGAGUGCUCAGGUUCUCAAGUCUAGAGGUGCUAUGUUGAAUCAGGCCAAUGACACGAAGGAAGCUACUCCCAGGUGUUCAUUGUGCUGAUUAAGAGCAGGGCUCACUGGAUGUCUGCGAGUAGAUUAUCCCCAGAUAAGUAUAGGAUGCAUCUGAUUAUUUUAACUAUGGUGAAUACACCGAAUUAUUAGAUUGAGUAUUUUUCUUGAGUUUCGACAGCUGGGGCAUUGGUCUCUCUUAUGGGGUAACAGACCGGAUCAACGACAUAGAUAAGGUUCUACAGGAGAUUAGGCCCUAAUCUAUUGGUCCAGGUUUUUCAUUUCUCUCUGCUCUCUUGGUUCAGUCCCUGAUCAAGGCCAGGGCGCCGUGGAUCUCAUGCUCAAGGUAAGGAUGAAAUCAGUGCAUGUAUGUUUCUGGAAAUGUGUUUAAAAUAACCAAACAGUGUAAUAAUUUAUGCCAUGAUUCAACGAGUUUUCUUCCAUUAAUGGGUGUCGAUUUAGUAACAAUGAUAUUAAACACAAUUUACAGCUAUAUUUUGAAUGUAGUUUAUCUCAUUUGGCUCUGUUCUUGGAGAUAUAUUACCAACAGGUAGAAAUGUUAUGACCAUAUUAUCAUUUCAGAUUGCAUAUACUAUAUCCUACAAGAAUCCUUUUGAUGGAUUUGGUAUUCGAUUCGAAACCAAAGAACAUACAUUCUUACUUUGUACAUGCGUUUUUUAAAGAUUUUCAGUUGUUUGCUAUCAUAUCUAAACAAAUGGAUGCUUAUCUUAUUUUGUCCAGAGAGAGUGCUAUACCUGUGUUGCAUAGAAAACUCACUCCUUCACUGGAGGAAUGAGCGGUUGAGGAGCUCCUCUUCACCAGCAGCAAGAUGGAUAUAUUUUCCGCUCUUUGCAGUACACAGUACCACACAUGUCUUUUCAAGAAGCAAUUUUUCUCGAAAACUCCAAUGGCAGAAAAAAUGCAAGCUGGAACAGGCUGAUGCUAUGAGCAUUAGAUGUUUUAGCUACGAUGCACCAGGUAAAAAAUAGAAUGUGCUUUUGCACUGAUUGGAGGUGUCUCGAGAAAAUAGAGAAAUUAUAUUUGUUUUGUAGACCCUUUCUUUGGGUGAAAGUUUUGAUGAAAACAAAGAAAUUGUAUCCCUUUUAUCCGUAUACAAUGACAGUGAAAGGUACAUAAUAGAAGCAUUGCAUUUCUAUGCCGCAGAUGGGGCUGGUAAUUUGUCGCUCAUAUGGUCAUAUUCUUAAUAUCGAAGAUAGUUUCAUGUU
This is a long non-coding RNA of Lolium perenne, 3239 nucleotides long. RefSeq lists it as uncharacterized. NCBI's taxonomy places the organism in Eukaryota, Viridiplantae, Streptophyta, Magnoliopsida, Poales, Poaceae. The record is from RefSeq and is a predicted model, not a curated record.